Molecule: transfer RNA, 57 nt
Filed under: Ictidomys tridecemlineatus (thirteen-lined ground squirrel)
Lineage: Eukaryota; Metazoa; Chordata; Mammalia; Rodentia; Sciuridae
Description: Spermophilus tridecemlineatus (thirteen-lined ground squirrel) tRNA
Rfam family: tRNA
About the family: Transfer RNA (tRNA) molecules are approximately 80 nucleotides in length. Their secondary structure includes four short double-helical elements and three loops (D, anti-codon, and T loops).
Source: Rfam by way of RNAcentral
UAGCUCAGUGGUAGAGUGCUUGCCCGGCAUGCACAAGGCCCUGGGUUCAAUUCCCAG